CUCCAACAUUUCCCUCCUUUGAAAGUUCAAAAAUUUUCAUCUCCCUCUCUUUCUUGGAUACCUAUUCAAACACAAAUUAGAAUACUUGUCUUUCUAAUUUCACCAAAACCCAUACAUCUCUUACUCCUACUAUGGCUACGGGUGAAAAGCGGAAGUUCAUGCGAAGCUUAAUCGAUGGCUGUCAAGAGAGCUAUCGAGUUUGGAAAAAGUGGGAGAUGUGCUUCCUCUUUCGCAAGUGCCUAAUGAUGUAGCAAUGGCUUUCAAAAGGGAAAUCGAGUGGCAAACAAAUCACAUGCUUUUACCUUUUAAGAGCUUGUGCGAGCAAAGAAAGGUGCAUGUAGAUGUUGUAGUGAUUGAAUCAGAUGAUGUAGUAACUGCGGUAGCAGAGGAAGUAACUAAGGACGCUUUAACCAAACUUGUCGUUGGAGCUUUGUCUUCUGGUAUUUUCAGAAGUAAACAUAAGGGUAUGCACUCCAACAUUUUGUACGGUUUACGCUGUUUCAAAGGGAAAAUUGUCCAUACGGCAAUCAGACACACAAGUUGAUGGAAGUACUACGGAUAAAUACUACCAUCAUGCAGGAAAAAAUACACUCAUUACAAAAUUCUCCGGGAUCCAUCGAAUAACACUCAUAGGUGGGAAAAGGGUAUUACCUAAUUAAUAUCCGCCUUUACUUCACCUUGUUAAUAGGCUUAACUAAAAGUAUUUUGUCGUUGAUUAACUUGGAAUCUUUUUUGGUGGGAAAAAGGUAUUACCUAAUUAAUAAGCCUUUCUUAUUGUUUUAGUUACUUUUAUCGUGGCCUGUUGAUUAACUUGGAAUCUUUGUCUUUAACAGUUCAAAUAUGGCGUAGAGGUUCGGGACGCUCAUAUGCUGUUGUCCAAAAGUCAUCCACAGGCAAGUUUUCAUCAAUAAUGUAUAUGUCUUGUAUGUGUGUUGGUCGUAUGUCUUAUGUACUUGAUUACAUUGUCUCCAGGAAUGUUUGGUUUGGUUUAGUUAAUAUCUGAAUAUGAUGUUAAUAUUAGGAGCCUAAAACUAACUAUAUAUGAUGGCUUUUAUGCAACUGUCUUAAGUGAUGCAAACUGAUACAAAUAGUAAUAAUCUGCAUGACACUCAACAGAUGAAAAUUAAUGUGGCUGUUUUGAUUGUUAUUACCAAGGAUUAACAAAUUUUCAUUUGUCUUGUAUUUAUCUAGUUUAGUUUUUGAUAGGACAUAAAUCAAUUUGGCAGGAGACUAAAAGCCACCUUGUAGAUAUGUUAUAUUGGUCCCUUAGUUCGUGUUGUUGCUACUUAUUUUCUAUUGCCUAAUCUUAGAAGU
This is a long non-coding RNA of Vicia villosa (hairy vetch), 1314 nucleotides long. RefSeq lists it as uncharacterized. The transcript has 4 exons. The record is from RefSeq and is a predicted model, not a curated record. Lineage: Eukaryota; Viridiplantae; Streptophyta; Magnoliopsida; Fabales; Fabaceae.